ACCUAUUGCUCUUCCUCUUCCUUAUUCUGCUUCAUUUGCCUUGGUCUUCUUGCUCUUCUUUCAACAAACCAAAGCAAAUUCUUGCCUAAGAGCCUCUGUCCUGCACAACAACCUCUCCCUUAGUUAUGUGAAUGACUGGCUCACUCUGCUGAAAUUUUCACUCUGAGGGAGCUCUUCCAUCCGUAACUUUGUUUAAAUAAUCAAUUCCAGGCUCUUCACCCUUUUCUAUGCUUUAUUUUUAUCCAUCACACUUAUUCCCCAGCAUUUUACUAGGUAUUUCUUUAUGAUUUCUCUUCCAAUAGGAUAUGAGUCUUUAGGUGGUGAGGAAUUUCUUCUCUCUCACUUCCUGUUUUUCCUGUUAAAUAGAUGACAAUCUUGACAAUUUCAGUGUAACCCGGCAGCUUUUUGGCAUCUCCCUGGGGUGUUUGCUGAGAACUCAGUGCACCCUGACCUUCAGAUCCCUCUGAGUUGGUAAGCAAUCUUCCCUAGCAUUUAUUUAUGCUGAAGGAGGAGAACAAUGAGAAGCAAUUGAGACCCAAGAGAGCCUGUCGUGUGCAAAUGCAGAAGAACCAAGAAAGCUGUAAAAUUGCCUCCCCUCCCAGCCAGCCCUGUUCGGGAGAAUGGAACCUUCCAUUAACCCUGUUUAAGGGACUGACUUUCCACCUCUGGGAGAGGAUGAAUUCACGUGCACCGAAUGUCUCAAAGGCAGACGUCUGUGAGCCUGCGCUAGUUAAGGAAAGGAUGAUUUCAAGGCAGCUGGGGGUGACAACAGUGUGAUGAUGUCAAUUCAAAUUGUAAGAUUUUUUGAUUGAAGUCGCUCAGCCAU
RNAcentral lists this long non-coding RNA (826 nucleotides) under Bos indicus x Bos taurus (hybrid cattle). Its description in RNAcentral is "lncRNA (ENSBIXG00005010295.1)". Lineage: Eukaryota; Metazoa; Chordata; Mammalia; Artiodactyla; Bovidae. The record is from RNAcentral.